AAGUCAAAUCACAUGAUCUGAACUCUCGUGAGUCGUGACCGUCCUCAACUGAAACUUUGGCUGGAAUUGCGAUCUGCAGUAGAAGACUUUCAACUCUAUUUACGCGCGAAGUGCAUAUACAGUUCUUGAUGUUGAUAUAUUAUAUCAACUAAAAAUGCCUUAAAUUAAUGUAUGUAAAUCACUAAGAGCAGCAAGAUCGACUGGAAGAACAAAUGAGCAGCUUGCAGAGCUUGGCAUGACAGCCCAAAAUUUUGUAACACGGCAUUGGGGCAAGUAUCCUCUCUGGUUCCGUAAGAGCGUACACAACAGAGUGGUUGAAAAGAUAGCUGCUGAUCUGUGGAAGAAAUGGUCUUAUUGUCAUCUCAGAGCUACACAAUAAAGAGACUUUCAGAAGAUUCUUGAAACUCUCAAAUAAUUCAGUUUAUUGUAAAAAAUAUAGAUGGGAGUAAAGUUAGUUAUCUAGAGGAA
Schistocerca nitens (vagrant locust) is the source of this 468-nucleotide long non-coding RNA. RefSeq lists it as uncharacterized. NCBI's taxonomy places the organism in Eukaryota, Metazoa, Arthropoda, Insecta, Orthoptera, Acrididae. The record is from RefSeq and is a predicted model, not a curated record. The transcript has 3 exons.